UCUGGUGGCGAUAGCGAAGAGGUCACACCCGUUCCCAUACCGAACACGGAAGUUAAGCUCUUUAGCGCCAAUGGUAGUUGGGACUUUGUCCCUGUGAGAGUAGGACGUUGCCAGGU
Molecule: ribosomal RNA, 116 nt
Filed under: Priestia megaterium
Lineage: Bacteria; Bacillati; Bacillota; Bacilli; Caryophanales; Bacillaceae
Source: RNAcentral